UGGGGUAUUGUGCACAGAAAAAGUGAAGAAGAGCUUUAUUUUUGAUGGACCUUCUUUUUUAAACCCUAGAAUGAGAAGCAGUGAGAUAAUGUCAGGUCGUGGUCUGUAGUUGAGAUAAUGUCAGGUAGUGUCUGUAGUUGAGAUAAUGUCAGGUAGUGUCUGUAGUUGAGAUAAUGUCAGGUAGUAGUCUGUAGUUGAGAUAAUGGCAGGUAGUGUGUGUAGUUGAGAUAAUGUCAGGUAGUAGUCUGUAGUUGAGAUAAUGUCAGGUAGUAGUCUGUAGUUGAGAUAAUGGCAGGUAGUGGUCUGUAGUUAUAUGAAUAGAAGCAGUGAGAUAAUAUCAGGUAGUGUCUGUAGUUGAGAUAAUGUCAGGUAGUAAUCUGUAGUUGAGAUAAUGGCAGGUAGUGUCUGUAGUUGAGAUAAUGGCAGGUAGUGGUCUGUAGUUAUAUGAAUAGAAGCAGUGAGAUAAUAUCAGGUAGUGUCUGUAGUUGAGAUAAUGUCAGGUAGUAAUCUGUAGUUGAGAUAAUGGCAGGUAGUGUCUGUAGUUGAGAUAAUGGCAGGUAGUGGUCUGUAGUUGAGAUAAUGUCAGGUAGUAGUCUGUAGUUGAGAUAAUGUCAGGUAGUAGUCUGUAGUUGAGAUAAUGGCAGGUAGUGGUCUGUAGUUAUAUGAAUAGAAGCAGUGAGAUAAUAUCAGGUAGUGUCUGUAGUUGAGAUAAUGUCAGGUAGUGUCUGUAGUUGAGAUAAUGGCAGGUAGUGGUCUGUAGUUAUAUGAAUAGAAGCAGUG
Clupea harengus (Atlantic herring) is the source of this 780-nucleotide long non-coding RNA. The record is from Ensembl. Lineage: Eukaryota; Metazoa; Chordata; Actinopteri; Clupeiformes; Clupeidae.